GUGGGGAAUCUUCCGCAAUGGACGAAAGUCUGACGGAGCGACGCCGCGUGAGUGAAGAAGGCCUUCGGGUCGUAAAGCUCUGUCAUCAGGGACGAACGGCCGGUGGAGUGGAAAGCCACCGGAUUGACGGUACCUGAGAAGGAAGCCACGGCUAACUACGUGCCAGCAGCCGCGGUAAUACGUAGGUGGCAAGCGUUGUCCGGAAUUAUUGGGCGUCAAGCGCGCGCAGUGGGGAUCUUAAGUCCAUUUUUAAAGUUCGGAGCUCAACUCCGUGAUGGGAUGGAAACUGGGAUUCUUGAGUACCGGAGAGGAAAGCGGAAUUCCCCGUGUAGCGGUGAAAUGCGUAGAUAUGGGGAGGAACACCAGUGGCGAAGGCGGCUUUCUGGACGGUGUCUGACACUGAGGCGCGAAAGCCAGGGGAGCGAACGGGAUUAGAAACCCCAGUAGUCC
This 450-nucleotide ribosomal RNA is filed under the name uncultured bacterium. RNAcentral describes it as "partial 16S ribosomal RNA". It matches the Rfam family "Bacterial small subunit ribosomal RNA", at positions 354 to 796 of the family's 1533-position model. The record is from RNAcentral.